RNAcentral lists this ribosomal RNA (433 nucleotides) under uncultured bacterium. Its description in RNAcentral is "partial 16S ribosomal RNA". It matches the Rfam family "Bacterial small subunit ribosomal RNA", at positions 29 to 507 of the family's 1533-position model. The record is from RNAcentral.
AACGAACGCUGGCGGCAUGCCUAACACAUGCAAGUCGAACGAGACCUCCGGGUCUAGUGGCGCACGGGUGCGUAACGCGUGGGAACCUGCCCUUAGGUUCGGAAUACCUCCCCGAAAGGGGUGCUAAUACCGGAUAAUGUCUUCCGACCAAAGAUUUAUCGCCAUUGGAUGGGCCCGCGUUUGAUUCGCUAGUUGGUAGGGUAAAAGCCUACCACCGCCACGAUCCAUAGCUGGGCUGAGAGGAAGAUCAGCCACACUGGGACUGCGACACGGCCCAGACUCCUACGGAAGGCAGAGGUGGGUAAUAUUGGGCAACGGGCGAAAGCCUGAGCCAGCAAUGCCGCGUGAGUGAUGAAGGCCUUAGGGGUGUAAAUCGCUUUUACCCGGGAUGAUAAUGACAGUACCGGGAGAAUAAGCUCCGGCUAACUCCGUG